CACACCACCUCCAAAAAAAUUUACUGGUAAAUGUGACCUAUGCAAGCUAAAAGGCCAUAAAGUUAUGCAAUGCCCCAAAUUUCUUGCAAUAAUCGCCCAAGCCAAUGCGGUCACCGCUGCAGAUGAGUCGCAACGAAAUAAUGAAGAAGAAUCAGAAGUAGAAAUUGAGCAGAUAGUAGACGGUGCUGAUGAAAAUGGAUCCAAUAUCCAAUAGGAAUAGAAAUAUGAAAUUAUAUAUAUAUAUUUAAUUAUAAUUAAAUAACUAUAAUUUAUAACCA
Long non-coding RNA from Acyrthosiphon pisum (pea aphid), 278 nucleotides. RefSeq lists it as uncharacterized. The transcript is spliced from 3 exons. The record is from RefSeq and is a predicted model, not a curated record. Lineage: Eukaryota; Metazoa; Arthropoda; Insecta; Hemiptera; Aphididae.